GAAGUGGGCUGGACGGUCGCCGCUGUGGAGGUCUUCGUGACUGAAGCAGGGGAGGAAAGUCUGGGCUUCAAAGGGUAAGGUGCUAGGUAACGCCUAGGCAGCGUGAGCUGACGACAAGUGCAGCAGAGAGUAGACCGCCUCAUUCGUGAGGUAAGGGUGAAAGGGUGCGGUAAGAGCGCACCGCAUGGCUGGCAACAGUUCAUGGCAUGGUAAACUCCACCUGAAGCAAGACCAAAUAGGAAUCCAUUAGGUGUGACCCGCAUCGGAUUCGGGUAGGUCGCUUGAGCGUAUGAGUGAUUGUACGCCUAGAGGAAUGAUCGUCUUCGACAGAACCCAGCUUAUAGGCCCACUUCCAAG
Non-coding RNA from Acinetobacter sp. CIP 102637, 357 nucleotides. It matches the Rfam family "Bacterial RNase P class A". From Rfam's summary of the family: Ribonuclease P (RNase P) is a ubiquitous endoribonuclease, found in archaea, bacteria and eukarya as well as chloroplasts and mitochondria. Its best characterised activity is the generation of mature 5'-ends of tRNAs by cleaving the 5'-leader elements of precursor-tRNAs. The record is from Rfam. NCBI's taxonomy places the organism in Bacteria, Pseudomonadati, Pseudomonadota, Gammaproteobacteria, Moraxellales, Moraxellaceae.